This 443-nucleotide ribosomal RNA is filed under the name uncultured bacterium. RNAcentral describes it as "partial 16S ribosomal RNA". It matches the Rfam family "Bacterial small subunit ribosomal RNA", at positions 338 to 795 of the family's 1533-position model. The record is from RNAcentral.
CCUACGGGAGGCAGCAGUGGGGAAUAUUGGGCAAUGGGCGCAAGCCUGACCCAGCAACGCCGCGUGAAGGAAGAAGGCUUUCGGGUUGUAAACUUCUUUUCUCAGGGACGAAGCAAGUGACGGUACCUGAGGAAUAAGCCACGGCUAACUACGUGCCAGCAGCCGCGGUCAUACGUAGGUGGCAAGCGUUAUCCGGAUUUACUGGGUGUAAAGGGCGUGUUGGCGGGACUGCAAGUCAGAUGUGAAAACCACGGGCUCAACCUGUGGCCUGCAUUUGAAACUGUAGUUCUUGAGUACUGGAGAGGCAGACGGAAUUCCUAGUGUAGCGGUGAAAUGCGUAGAUAUUAGGAGGAACACCAGUGGCGAAGGCGGUCUGCUGGACAGCAACUGACGCUGAGGCGCGAAAGCGUGGGGAGCAAACAGGAUUAGAUACCCCAGUAGUC